GACGAACGCUGGCGGCGUGCUUAACACAUGCAAGUCGUACGGUAAGGCCCUUUCGGGGGUGCACGAGUGGCGAACGGGUGAGUAACACGUGAGUAACCUGCCCACAACUUUGGGAUAACGCUAGGAAACUGGUGCUAAUACUGGAUGUGUGCUCCUGCUGCAUGGUGGGGGUUGGAAAGCUGCGUCGGGUGGGGAUGGAGUCGCGGCCUAUCCGCUUGUUGGUGGGGUAGUGGGCUUACCAGGCGGAGACGGGUAGCCGGCCCGGGAGGGUGACCGGGCAAAGCUGGACUGGGAAACGGGCCAGACUCCUACGGGAGGGAGCAGGGGGGAAUAAUGGACAAUGGGGGGGAGGCGGAUGCAGGAGCGCCGCGGUCGGGAUGACGGGCUUCGGGUUGGAAACCGUGUUCAGCAGGGGCGAAGCUGUUUGUGACGGUACCUGCAGAAGAAGCACCGGCUAACUACGUG
RNAcentral lists this ribosomal RNA (465 nucleotides) under uncultured bacterium. RNAcentral describes it as "partial 16S ribosomal RNA". It matches the Rfam family "Bacterial small subunit ribosomal RNA", at positions 28 to 507 of the family's 1533-position model. The record is from RNAcentral.